UUUGACUUCAGAUACUAAGCUUGGGCAAGUCAUUUAGCCCUGCUUGUCUCAGUUUCCUUAUCUGUAAAAAAAAAGUUGAAGAAGGAAAUGGCAAACCAUGCUAGUACUCUUGCAAGAAAAUCCCAAAUGGGAUUGUGAAGAGAUGGACAUGACUAAAAUGACUAAACAAAUUUGUACUCCAAAGUUUCUCCAAAGCCGUUCCAUUACAUAUUAUCACAAUUCCACCAGAAGCAGGAUCCCUAGCCUCUCUCAAGAUUGGGAAUUGCAUAGGCCAAACAUGCUGCCAUCCUUCCUGAAUGCUGUAUUCUCCAUUAUAAUCAGACUUUUCUCCUUAUUCAAGAAUUGUAAUCACUUCCCAUUAUCUCUGAAUUCCUGCCAGACUUCCAGAAUCUUUCAUAACUUUCCCCUUCCUUGCCUAUCCUACUGUAUUUCCUUCUACUUCCUGUUUGUUCUGUUUAGAUUUAAAUUACAUUCCAUGCCCAUUAUCAAUGCAGAUUUUUUUUUUUGCUGAGGCAAUUGGGGUUAAGUGACUUGCCCAGAGUCACACAUCUAUGAACUGUUGAAAUGUCUGAGAGCAAAUUUUAACUUGGGUCCUCCUGAAUUCAAGGCUGGUGCUCUAUCCACUGUACCACCUACCUACCCCAUCAAUGCAGAUUUUGAUGAUGUUUUCCCUAGCUGAAAUGUUUUCCCUUUUCAGCUCCUUUAAAUUCUUUAAAGAUAUAUUAAUUUCUUCUGUUGCAUGAAAUAAUCCUUAAAUUUCAUAGCCCAUGAUUUCAGAAAGGUCUGGAGAGACUUACACGAACUGAUGUUAAAUGAAGUAAGUAGAACCAAGAGAACAUUGUACACAGCAACAAGAUUAUUUGAUGAUCAACUGUGAUUGUCUUGGCUCUUUUCAACAUCCAAGUGAUUCAGGACAAUUCUAAUAGAUGUAAUGGAGACAGUCAUCUACAUCCAGAGAGAGGACUUUGGUAACUGAACGUGAAUCACAACAUAGUAUUUUCAUCUUUGUUGUUUGGUUUUUUUCUUUCUCAUCUCUUCCCCUCCCCCUUAAUCUGAUUUUUCUUGUGCAGCAUGCUAAGUAUGGAAUACAUUUAGGAG
Molecule: long non-coding RNA, 1098 nt
Filed under: Sarcophilus harrisii (Tasmanian devil)
Lineage: Eukaryota; Metazoa; Chordata; Mammalia; Dasyuromorphia; Dasyuridae
Description: lncRNA (ENSSHAG00000025360.1)
Source: RNAcentral